GAUGAACGCUGGCGGUGUGCCUAAUACAUGCAAGUCGAGCGAACGGACGAGAAGCUUGCUUCCCUGAUGUUAGCGGCGGACGGGCGAGUAACACGUGGAUAACCUACCUAUAAGACUGGGAUAAUUUCGGGAAACCGGUGCUAAUACCGGAUAAUAUUUCGAACCGCAUGGUUCAAAAGUGAAAGACGGUCUUGCUGUCACUUAUAGAUGGAUCCGCGCUGCAUUAGCUAGUUGGUAAGGUAACGGCUUACCAAGGCAACGAUGCAUAGCCGACCUGAGAGGGUGAUCAGCCACACUGGAACUGAGACACGGUCCAGACUCCUACGGGAGGCAGCAGUAGGGAAUCUUCCGCAAUGGGCGAAAGCCUGACGGAGCAACGCCGCGUGAGUGAUGAAGGUCUUCGGAUCGUAAAACUCUGUUAUUAGGGAAGAACAUAUGUGUAAGUAACUGUGCACAUCUUGACGGUACCUAAUCAGAAAGCCACGGCUAACUUCGUG
RNAcentral lists this ribosomal RNA (497 nucleotides) under uncultured bacterium. RNAcentral's name for it is "partial 16S ribosomal RNA". It matches the Rfam family "Bacterial small subunit ribosomal RNA", at positions 28 to 507 of the family's 1533-position model. The record is from RNAcentral.